RNAcentral lists this small RNA (46 nucleotides) under Bremerella volcania. RNAcentral's name for it is "Acido-Lenti-1". It matches the Rfam family "Acido-Lenti-1 RNA". Lineage: Bacteria; Pseudomonadati; Planctomycetota; Planctomycetia; Pirellulales; Pirellulaceae. The record is from RNAcentral.
CCAGGGGCUGACGCCCCUGGCUAUUAUCUGCCGCCUCUUCGGGGCC